Molecule: ribosomal RNA, 549 nt
Filed under: uncultured Glomus
Lineage: Eukaryota; Fungi; Glomeromycota; Glomeromycetes; Glomerales; Glomeraceae
Description: SSU rRNA
Rfam family: Eukaryotic small subunit ribosomal RNA
Source: RNAcentral
UUGGAGGGCAAGUCUGGUGCCAGCAGCCGCGGUAAUUCCAGCUCCAAUAGCGUAUAUUAAAGUUGUUGCAGUUAAAAAGCUCGUAGUUGAAUUUCGGGGUUAGCAGGUCGGUCGUGCCAUCGGUAUGAACUGGUCUCGCUGAUCCCUCCCUCUUGAAGAACUGUGAUGCCAUUAAUUUGGUGUCGCAGGGAAUCAGGACUGUUACUUUGAAAAAAUUAGAGUGUUUAAAGCAGGCUCACGCUUGAAUACAUUAGCAUGGAAUAAUGAAAUAGGACGUUUGAUCCUAUUUUGUUGGUUUCUAGGAUUGACGUAAUGAUUAAUAGGGAUAGUUGGGGGCAUUAGUAUUCAAUUGUCAGAGGCGAAAUUCUUGGAUUUAUUGAAGACUAACUACUGCGAAAGCAUUUGCCAAGGAUGUUUUCAUUAAUCAAGAACGAAAGUUAGGGGAUCGAAGACGAUCAGAUACCGUCGUAGUCUUAACCAUAAACUAUGCCGACUAGGGAUCGGAUGAUGUUAAUUUUUUAAUGACUCAUUCGGCGCCUUACGGGAAAC